GUGAUUCAUGACACCUAUAACCUGGAUAUGUUUUUUGGAAAGUUAAAUGUGUAUGAGAAAAUGUUUAACUAUGUAGUAGCCAACUUAUAAACAGUAUCUAUAGCAUCCUGUUACUCAUCAAACCUCCCCAUUAGAAGUGCUGAAUGUCAGGCUAGGAUACAGCACAGUUAGAGGGCUUUUGUAGCAUGUGCAAGGUCCUGGUGUGAUUCCCCCCGCAAAGCAAAACAAUACAAAACAUGAAAUAUGCUUUCUUGUGAAAUCUUUUUCGUAGUACAACAAUGAUAAAAGCUGUGUCUUUUAAAUUCCACUUGUUGAGUCAUGCCUUCACAAACAGUAUUUGAGGUAAAGCUGUGAGUCUCAACAUUAAAUAAUUCCACCACAUUUUCCUCCAUUUUAAUUUAUUUACUUUUAUUUUCUUUUUUGGUGCAUGUUCAUACUGUAUGUGUGUAUAUGUGGAUGAACGUGGAUGGAAUUGUGUGUGCAUGCACGCGAGGUCCAGAAGUCAGUGUGAAGAGUCUCCCACUAUUACCCUCACCUUAUCUUUUGAGAUGGUGUCUCUCACUGGUCACUGAUUGGCUACUAGGCAGGUCACUGAGCUCUAGGGAUCCAUCUGUCUCUUUCUAAAGGCUCACACCACCUCAGCCUUUAUGGAAGUGUCAGGCAUCUGAACUCCUGUCCUCAUGUUUACACAGUAGGCAUUUCACUGACUGAGACAUCUCACCAGCCCUUGAGUAUUUUUAGAAGAAAAUUUCCCAGUAAUGACUUUAGUAAAAACAAUAACAGGAGCAACAAAAUGACAACAAAAAGUCAAAAUCUUCCAAAUAGAACUAUUUUUCCUCAUUUAAAAAUAUUUCUGGUACUCACAAUUGCAUAGUUUAACAGCCAUGUGACUCUACCAUAAGGAAGACAUACUCUUGGUACUAAAAGAAGAUACCAAGAGGGGGGAUGAUUCUUCUGGAGGAAUUCAUUCCCUUUGUGGAUGAAAAUCGCUUUGAGAACAGGCAUACCAAUUUGUGUAGGUGUAUUUAAAACAGUAUUAUCGUAUCACUAUAACUUACUGGAGAAUAUGUGAGUUGGCAGUCAGUGUAUUCAAUAUUCUAAGUUUAGUAUUCUCAAUGUGAUUGGGUAGAUCAAAACAUAAAUUUGGGAUUCCAAGGAAUGAACUCUUGGGUAGCAAAAUUAGAUUAAUGGCCAUUUUUAAAUUGAUAAGCAUAAUAUAUCUGAUUUGCACAUCCUAACUGUAUGAUAAUGUUUACAUGUGACUCAUCCUAUUCCAUAUAAAUGAGUAAUGUUAUUUAUGCAAAUUACCAAGGACAUUGCCUAGCACAAAGGAAAUAUGUUAGCAUGUUAAUGCAACCACUUCCUUCCAGUUAAAUUUAAUAAAGACACUAGUUAGAAAUCAUUAUAUCCAAAGUUAUGCUGGACUGUCUAAGAAAAUAUAUCUGUUUAACUUAUUUAAGUAUAAAUGUAGGUCAUGAUUUUAAGAUCCAUUCUAACAAAUAUACAUUUAGGUUUCAGCCUAUGAGAAGCAAGAAGAAUACUAUCUAAAAGAUUAUGAAUUCUCUUUACUUUGAGGAGUUUAUAGCUUUUUGCCAUAAUUUGUGGGUAAAACUGUAAAGUAGGCCUAUGCUGUAACUAAAUUUGGAGGCAGUCAUACAGCGAGACCUGGAGUGUCCAGACAGAAUGUGGGCUGAACUCUUUCUGAGUGGACAGAGCAUCUGGGCAUCAGUGAUAGAAUCUUCCUUACAGGAGAAAUGUUUAAUUCAACUUGAGACUUUAGGAAAGUUGUCUAAGAUAAACAAGAGCUUGACAGGUCUUUCACUUCCCAGGAUCAGGAAAUUGAAUGAGAACCCAAGAUCUAAAGUCCCUGUGUCAGCUGGGACUUGGGUCUGAGAAGAGCUGGGACUGGUAAUAUGGGCUGGAUGAACCUUAUAUUCAGAGAACUAGGAAGGUUUGUUCUUUCAAAUUUACUAAAUUUCUGUCUCUUUUCUUUCUUUCUGUGUUGCUUGAGAUGAAACCGAACUAUCCUGUGUGUGUUAAAGAAGUGCUAUAAACAGAGUGAGUUCUCCAGCCUUUGUUUUUAAGACAGAAUCUCAUUUUCAGCCCAUACUGUCCUCAAACUCACAACUCCCCUGUCUGUCUCUGAGUCCUAGGAUGACAGGUGUGCACCAACACACCAGCUCUAAAACUCUCUUAUCUGAUGUCCGUUGUUCAUACAUUCAAGGAAUUCCUUCAAUCUAGUAUGGUGCAUCUUAGCAAUUUCAAGUUCAGAAGGGUCGACUAUUUCACAUUUUCAUAUUGAAUAAACCUUGCCCUAUGCUCAUUAGAUGACAAUUUCCCAUUUCUUCCUCCCCUAACUACUGGCAACUCCCAUUGUUGGGAGAUAUUCGAUCACACUGUGAACCCCAAGUUUGUGUUUGCAUUAAAUGAAAUCAACCUUGGAUCAGGAGGCCAAGUUAGCAACUAGUUGACAGAAAGUAAUCAUAGAGAGUCAUAGGGUGUCUGUAAGAUGAUAGACACACAGGAAGUAAUAGGGAGGAACUUAGUGUAGCGUUCUUUUGGGUUGGCGGAGUAGGUGGAACCUCUCUUUUUGAGACACCAGCAAAGAGAGAAGGCCAGCUAGUUGCUACUCAACCUCUCUGAGCUAGCAGGUUUUCACCCCAGCCUUUGACUCCAAGUCUUAUUGUUAAAUAGAAUGAUAGAGAUUUAAUCAAAAGCUAUAUAAUCAGCAGUUAUAUAGCCAGUGCUUGCAGGAACAGAAUUCUCACCAGGCAGUGGCCUAAGCAGCCAGGCCAAUGCCAGAGAAGCAGGCCAGUAAUCCCAGAGCCUCAUUAGCUGGAUGAAACAACAGAUUAAAGCACAGCCUCUGCAAUGAUGGAAAACAACAUCCCAGUCUAGUUUUUCCUAUGAAUUUGACUAUUUCAGAGGCUUCAUGUAAGUGACAUCAUAACACAUUUUAUAUUGUGCCUUGUUGUCCUUCUGGGUCAUCCAAGUUGUAAAAUAACAUUAGAAGUUCUUCAUUCUUAUGGCUGAACAACAUUCCACUGUAUGUGUAUAUUUUGCUUUUUUCCUUUAUCUAUUUUGAUGGACAUUUGGAUGGCUUUCAGCACUGGGCUGUUGGGAUGCCACUACAUUGAAUAAGGAUACUAAGCUAUAUGUUCAAGUUUUCAUUACAAUUUUUUUGGAUAUAUGACCCGAAGUGGAAUUUUUAUAUCACAUGGUAAUUCUACACUUCUUUACUUCUUUCUUUCCUUUGAGGAACUUCUAUAUUAUUUUUCAUAAUGACCAUGUUGUUUCACUUUCUCACCAGCAGUUCAUAAACAUCCCAGCCUCUCAUGACCCUGUUGCUUUGUUACUAAUCUUCUGUUUUAUUCUUUUUUAGGGACCUUCACCAGCAGCAUGUUUUGUGGAUGUAAGAGUUCUGGGAAUGGUAGAAUCUUCAUAAGUUCCUUUGCUAGUUAAUUUCAUUUUUGUUUCCUUUUUUGAGGGUGGGAGCAAGGACAGUGUUAGAGAUUGACAGUGCUUGAACAAAAACACAGAGCAAAUAGAGUUGUUGUUGUUUUUUUUCAGUCACACUUUGACUAUAUAUUGGUGUCAGUGAGCAGGAUGACCCCCAUGCCCCAAGGUUCCUAGAGGAAGAGGGAAACCUGCUGCCACUGCCUACCCUGUUGGGCCGCUGAGAGACAUCGGAGCAGGUUCCAUACGCUCGAGCAGUCUCUGUGCUCUUGGGGGUUGGACUCUGGCACUCCCGAGAUGGCCUGCAGCUCUUGAGGGUUCUAGGGUUAGGAUUCUGAGCUCUCACCACCACAAGCUAUCUUCGUGCAACUAGUCGAACAGUGGCAGAACCUGGGCAGCUGGAGAAAAUCAAAAGCUGUGGAUUCCUUCCAGACUAAUAUGGUUUGAUCAAGCAAGACCCCUGAAGCUGAGAUGAUACAGUCUUACAGACUAUGAAAACAAGGACUUGGUCGAAUUUCUGUGUUUUAUCAUGAUCCCUAUGUGAGACACAACUGCUCCUGGCACACCAAUUACAUCAGAAAGGAGGAUGGGCAUCGAAGAAACUCGUUAUGGAGUUUGCUUUCAACAUGGCAAGAUUAGCCAUUUGGGCAAGAAACUACUCUUGCCUGGAUUGUUUGUUGCUGUAUAAACUGGACGUGCAGGACCCACAAGAAAGUGACUGCUGAACUUACAAAACAAGACAGUACUGAAGGGUCCUGUUGAAAUGCAGAAGUGUGCCAGACACACAGCAGAUGUGGUGCUGGAGCUCAGAGUCCUACAUCUUGACUCAGAGGCAACAGGAAGUCAGCUGGCUGUCACACUGUGGGAAACUUGAGCAAAAGAGUCCUUACAGCCCACCCUCACAGUGACACACUUCCUUUAAGAAGGCUACAACUCCCAAUAGUGCCACUCCCUUUGGGGGCCAUAUUCUUUCAAACCACCACACUUGGGUGCAGCUUCCCUGUCAUAUAUAGAAGACACAGCCUCACAGCAGACAUCCUGUCUCUCUGGCUUUUACGAUCUUCUUAAUGCUUACAGAAGGCAUGCAAAACCUUGCAUCUAUUCCAUCUCUAGAUGUAUCUCUGCUUCAGCCAAACCUCAUUACACACUGUUGCUUUCCAGUGUCUUAUCAGCCAUGUGUUUAAGUGCUUCACCCUGAUUAGAACACACUUCCUGUCAUGUAACAUGAAAAAUAAAAAGCCCCAGAGACUGAUAUUGGGGUUCAAACUUCAAGCUGAAGAUCAGAAAAGAAAAGCAGCCAAUCCUAGCUUUUACCUUUACCUCAGGCUGAAAAGGCUGAUCCUGCUGCCUCUCCUCAGAGUGACUGGAGAUUCCUGAGACUGAAUGUCCUCCUAUCCUCAAUGUGUCUGGAGGAUGAAUUCUCAAUACUGAGACCUUGCUCCUGUCUUAUAUACCUCUCAUGAGUUCCAGGAUUAAAGGUGUGAGCUCUAAUUCUCUUUUAAACUGAUUUACUCUAAUGUGUCCUUGGGCGGCCUUGAAUUUAGAGAGAUCCAUCUGCCUUUAACUCCUGAAUCCUGGGAUUAAAGGUGUGUACUACCACCUACUGACCUCUAUAGCUUGUGGCUGACUUUGCUUUCUGAAUCCUCAGGCAAGCUUUAAUAAAUCAUAAAUGAUACAUCACCACACUAUCCUCACCUCAGAUUCACCUGGGAAAAUGGCUUGGACUUUACCAAGACUUAACCCAACUGACACUUACUUCUUGUUUCACACCUUACCUCUUUGCCAUUGUGUCAAGGAGGUGUCUGGGUAGUCACUUCCCACUGAUAUACACAAUCUCUUCUUUUUGAGCACUGCAAUCAGUAGCAUUUCAACAUAGCUCCCACCAUAUCUUACCGCAUGGCUUUCCACUCCUGAAUCUCUCUCCCUCUGCUGUGGGCUCCUCAGGAGUGGAGGUCAAGUUAGUUGCAACAUGUCUCAAGUCACAGUUUGUCCAAUGCCCAUUAAAUGUAUAUUGAAUUAAAAGUUGGAAAAUCUAUGAGUGAACAGAUGUUUGUGAGGGGUGUAAGUGAAUGGACACUGAAAUCAGACUGGAUAGGUAUCUAUAAUUCUGUUCAAUUAAAUGUGAUAGUGCGCUGGGCAGUGGUGGCACACGCCUUUAAUCUGAGCACGUGGAAGGCAGAUCUCUGAGUUCAAGGCCAGACUGAUCUACAAAGCAAGUUUCAGGACAGCCAGGAUUACACAGAGAAAUCCUGUCUCAAACCACUCCCCUACAAAUGUGACAGUGUUAUGUAAACUUCAGAGACAACCUCACAGCAACUCUGGAGCUAAAAUUCAAACCCAGAUCUUCCAAACCAGCACUGUCUGUAAUAUUGCC
RNAcentral lists this long non-coding RNA (5830 nucleotides) under Cricetulus griseus (Chinese hamster). RNAcentral's name for it is "lncRNA (ENSCGRG00015035025.1)". The record is from RNAcentral. Lineage: Eukaryota; Metazoa; Chordata; Mammalia; Rodentia; Cricetidae.